RNAcentral lists this ribosomal RNA (253 nucleotides) under uncultured bacterium. RNAcentral's name for it is "partial 16S ribosomal RNA". It matches the Rfam family "Bacterial small subunit ribosomal RNA", at positions 524 to 776 of the family's 1533-position model. The record is from RNAcentral.
UACAGAGGGGGCAAGCGUUGUUCGGAAUCACUGGGCGUAAAGCGCACGUAGGCGGAUUUGUCAGUCAGGGGUGAAAUCCCGGGGCUCAACCUCGGAACUGCCUUUGAUACAGCAAGUCUUGAGUUCGAGAGAGGUGGGUGGAAUUCCUAGUGUAGAGGUGAAAUUCGUAGAUAUUAGGAAGAACACCGGUGGCGAAGGCGGCCCACUGGCUCGAUACUGACGCUGAGGUGCGAAAGCGUGGGGAGCAAACAGG